UGGGCUAUAGCCAAGCGGUAAGGCAACGGACUUUGACUCCGUCAUUCGUUGGUUCGAAUCCAGCUAGCCCAG
The sequence is a transfer RNA, 72 nucleotides long. It matches the Rfam family "tRNA". From Rfam's summary of the family: Transfer RNA (tRNA) molecules are approximately 80 nucleotides in length. The record is from Rfam.